GAGUUUGAUCCUGGCUCAGAUUGAACGCUGGCGGCAUGCCUUACACAUGCAAGUCGAACGGCAGCACGGGAGCUUGCUCCUGGUGGCGAGUGGCGAACGGGUGAGUAAUGCAUCGGAACGUAUCCUGGAGUGGGGGAUAACGUAGCGAAAGUUACGCUAAUACCGCAUAUUCUGUGAGCAGGAGAGCGGGGGACCUUCGGGCCUCGCGCUCUUGGAGCGGACGAUGUCGGAUUAGCUAGUUGGUGAGGUAAAGGCUCACCAAGGCGACGAUCCGUAGCAGGUCUGAGAGGAUGAUCUGCCACACUGGAACUGAGACACGGUCCAGACUCCUACGGGAGGCAGCAGUGGGGAAUUUUGGACAAUGGGGGCAACCCUGAUCCAGCCAUGCCGCGUGAGUGAAGAAGGCCUCGGUUGUAAG
RNAcentral lists this ribosomal RNA (418 nucleotides) under bacterium enrichment culture clone ALO1_GLFRUDD03GSF2A. RNAcentral's name for it is "bacterial SSU rRNA". It matches the Rfam family "Bacterial small subunit ribosomal RNA", at positions 9 to 429 of the family's 1533-position model. The record is from RNAcentral.